CGGCAACAGCUCAAAUUUGAAAUCUGCCCGCAAGGGCCGAGUUGUAAUUUAGAGAAGUGUUAUCCGUGCUGGACCGUGUACAAGUCUCCUGGAAUGGAGCGUCAUAGAGGGUGAGAAUCCCGUCUUUGACACGGACUGCCAGUGCAUUGUGAUGCGCUCUCAAA
Molecule: ribosomal RNA, 164 nt
Filed under: Tricholomataceae sp.
Lineage: Eukaryota; Fungi; Basidiomycota; Agaricomycetes; Agaricales; Tricholomataceae
Description: partial large subunit ribosomal RNA
Rfam family: Eukaryotic large subunit ribosomal RNA
Source: RNAcentral